RNAcentral lists this long non-coding RNA (2110 nucleotides) under Homo sapiens (human). Its description in RNAcentral is "HSALNT0051640". The record is from RNAcentral. Lineage: Eukaryota; Metazoa; Chordata; Mammalia; Primates; Hominidae.
UGGAUGGGGAACAUACAAAGACUCGGCCCCUCUUCCCUCAAUUUAAGACAACUUCAAAGAACCAUCACAGCUCCAGAGCUCCCCAUGGGAUCAGCUAAGGGCUUUGUGCUACUGCAUUGCAGGCCAACUUCUCCUUCCGUGCAAUCCUGUUUCCUUCACUUCCCCACAGGAAUCAGUCCCAAGAGCACCACCCUUAAAAUUUUCUGUACCCCCAUUUACAUCUCAGAGUAUGUUUUCAGGAAACCCAACCUGAGAUCAACUGACAUACACAAAGAGGUGGAGUCACAUUGAUGGUGGGCUCCUCAGGACAGAUGCAGGAGCUCCUGCCAAAAAGCUGCCUGGAAUCAUUUCCAGAUUGCAUGAGGGCCAGUUCGUCCUCCUCUGGAACUCCAUGACACCCAUCACCAUGAUGACUUGAAAGCUGGACUUCGCUAGGACUAUCAUCCGGAGCACUUACACGAGGGCUUUUUGUGGACUGGGUCUUUUCACAGCAUGACAACUGGAUUCCAAGAAGGAUGAUUCAGAAAGUACAACAAGAGGGAGAAUUGUAAGAGAAACAGGUGGAAGGUAUUGCUUUGAUUUUCUGCCCUUGACAGUUCAUCAUUAGUUGAAGCAGUUACAAGCCCACCCAGAUUCAAGGGGAAGGGACAAGGCUUCCCUUUCCAGCGGGAGAAGGAGCAGAGUACUUGGGGCCAUGUUUUAAAUGUGCCGCACUUGCUAUCUAAAUUCUGCACAGCAAAAGUAAUAUUAACGCUUAUUCAAGUUUUCAGAAUAAAUGAUUGUCAACGAUGCUAUCUUUCCCUAAAUUAGUCUAGUCCAAGAAAACCUCACCUUCAGUAGUCCAGUCCUCUGGUUUAUCUGGGCCAUCAUUUACAUUCAUCAUUUUGUAUCAUCACUGAGGACUACAAAUAGCAUUUUAUUGGCAACCAUGAAAAUUAGGCCUGGCUUGUCAGAGCAUAACAUUCAAACGCUCCCUCAAAAUUAUUAAUAGGAUGGAAUCAAUUACAGAGUUGCCCUCUGACCUUAAUUCAGAUGAUCCUAGGACACCACCAAAGAGAAUUUUUUUUCCUGAAGCAAAAUGAAAAUCUCAGAAAAUUUUAACUGAUAAUGUGUUUGUAUUAGAAUUCCUAGUCUGAAAGAGGUUGCUCCAAAGAAAGUUGAGAUUAAUAAAAGUAUGCAUAGAAUAAGAGACAUAAGUAAAAACAGGCCUCUUUCUGAAGGGAUUAGGUUUGAUGCUUUUCAAGUUUUACAGCAAGAAUGACAAGCCUGGUAUGAAUUAGAAGGACUCAGGCUUAAUAUUUACUGUGGGAUAACGGGAGUGGUGUUAGGAUGUAAACAUGUCCGAAAAGUUAGCACAAGAGCUUGGGGAAAACUCUGCCUUCAAAAACAUGCCAAAGUUGCUUCUAAAAGUUAAGCUCAAGUCAAUGGCUGGAGCUGUUACAACCUGGAAGGACAGUGUUGAGAAGCCCUGCUCAUUUGGUUUGGUUUGAACAAAAAUUGAGCCUUUCAUUUAGAAAGAAAAAGAGAAUCACCAAAAGUGACAGUCCUUGUGAAAGGAAAAGAGUAGAUUCCAGGCUCCUGAAUGAUGUGAGAAGUAGCCACACAGCUGCCUCUUUUAGCAAAGAAUUCAUGACACCUUCCAAUGGUUUAUUUAUACAUAAAGUGUGCGUGAAGAACAGAAAGGUAGCUCCAUGCAGUGGUUGGAAAUGAGGCCCUGGAACAAAUCCUGGAUUUGAAUUCUAACUGCUGUUUACUAACUGUAUGACCUUGGGUAAAAUUAUUUUGUCAUGUCUCCUCUAAGAUUUAGUAUCCUCAUCUGUAAACGUAUAUAAAAACUUAACAUAGUGUAUAAUUCAUUAAAAAUAGACUCUAAAUUCUCAUUUUUAUCAUUAUGUUUAUUUUCUUACAGUUUCUAUUAGUUUCAUUUCAUAAUCCAUGCAUAAGAUAUAAAAUAACAAAAAUCACCCAUAAUCCUGCCAUCUAGAAAACCAUUUUUGUUGAUAUUUUAGUAUAUUUCAUUUAGUCUUUCUACAAUGCAUUUUCUCUAUCUGAGAUCUCACGAAGGAUAUACCUUUGCAUGCUAUAUAUUUCCCUUCUGAUCAUAGGAUCA